Molecule: long non-coding RNA, 284 nt
Filed under: Vigna radiata
Lineage: Eukaryota; Viridiplantae; Streptophyta; Magnoliopsida; Fabales; Fabaceae
Description: long non-coding RNA (VRAD_LNC016128)
Source: RNAcentral
GGCCUUCCAUGGCCUCAAGAAUUCAGAUACUCGGUCAUUCGGCCUUGCAGGUAUUCGAUCACUCGGUCAUUCAACCUCAAGUAUUCAAUCAUUCAGCCUCUAAAGCACUCGGCAAUUCGACCUCCCAAGUAUUCAACCAUUCAGCCUAAGGUACUAGACCAUUCGGCCUCGCAUGUAUUAAAGCAUUCGACGACCUCAUGUAUUAAACUACUGUUUGACCUUCCAUGGCCUCAAGUAUUCAACUACUCGACCUUCGACGACCUCAUGUAUUAAAGCAUUCGGUC